GAUGAACGCUGGCGGCGUGCCUAAUACAUGCAAGUCGAGCGAACGGACGAGAAGCUUGCUUCUCUGAUGUUAGCGGCGGACGGGUGAGUAACACGUGGAUAACCUACCUAUAAGACUUGGAUAACUUCGGGAAACCGGAGCUAAUACCGGAUAAUAUUUUGAACCGCAUGGUUCAAAAGUUAAAGACGGUCUUUCUGUCACUUAUAGAUUGAUCCGCGCUGCAUUAGCUAGUUGGUAAGGUAACGGCUUACCAAGGCAACGAUGCAUAGCCGACCUGAGAGGGUGAUCGGCCACACGGGAACUGAGACACGGUCCAGACGCCUACGGGAGGCAGCAGUAGGGAAUCUUCCGCAAUGGGCGAAAGCAUGACGGAGCAACGCCGCGUGAGUGAUGAAGGUCUUCGGAUCGUAAAACUCUGUUAUUAGGGAAGAACAUAUGUGUAAGUAACUGUGCACAUCUUGACGGUACCUAAUCAGAAAGCCACGGCUAACUACGUG
Molecule: ribosomal RNA, 497 nt
Filed under: uncultured bacterium
Lineage: Bacteria
Description: partial 16S ribosomal RNA
Rfam family: Bacterial small subunit ribosomal RNA
Source: RNAcentral